AGUAUUUGGCCACGAGGUUAUUCCCAAAACCACCCACUUUAUUGUAGCUCUGAUGAUGCAGGAGCUACAAAGAUAGCAAAUAUUGCUGUAUUUCUCAGAGGGCAAAGGAAAAGAAAAUAAGGAAGAGCAGAAGAAUAGUGUACAGAGGAUGAGGAGAAAUACUGGUAAGUGUCUUCAGAACAGAAGAUCAAGAGGAAAGGCUCUAUGCAGAGGGUUUCAGAAGAGAGAAGAUAUUUCAUCUGCAUCUCCCACUUCAGAACAAUACUGAAAGCGCAACAUUCAAGCUGCGAUCAGUAAUCAUGAGCCACAGGAACCUGCUCAUUUGUAUUGUAAAUUACACAACUUCUGCCCUUUAUUUCAUAUACAGUUGAUCACUUUUGUCAGGACUGUCAUCAGAGCAUGUGCCUGGGAAGAAAAAGAACAAAAUAAUAAUAAAAAAAGCCAACAACCAUGUUUCUUCACAUUUUGCUCUGUCUCAGUGGAAGUGGAUCUACAACCUAAAGACCUUUCAGACCACCUGCCUUCAAGUAUUCAACAAUUCUUGAAUACUUAGGGAGCUGGACUUUAUGAUCUCUGGAGUUCCCUUCCAACCCCUAAGAUUUUGUGAUUCUUUGAUUCUUGCUGGACCUUAUACAAAUAAUAGUGUUUUUCUAUGCAUUUCUAAACUUUUAGCUGACAAAGCUAUUUCUUAAGUGUGUUCAUUUUGCUGGUUUGAAUAAAAACACCUGAUGUG
This 733-nucleotide long non-coding RNA is filed under the name Coturnix japonica (Japanese quail). RNAcentral describes it as "lncRNA (ENSCJPG00005007805.1)". Lineage: Eukaryota; Metazoa; Chordata; Aves; Galliformes; Phasianidae. The record is from RNAcentral.